CAGCCGCCGCGGUAAUACGUAGGGUGCAAGCGUUAAUCGGAAUUACUGGGCGUAAAGCGUGCGCAGGCGGUUAUAUAAGACAGAUGUGAAAUCCCCGGGCUCAACCUGGGAACUGCAUUUGUGACUGUAUAGCUAGAGUACGGCAGAGGGGGAUGGAAUUCCGCGUGUAGCAGUGAAAUGCGUAGAUAUGCGGAGGAACACCGAUGGCGAAGGCAAUCCCCUGGGCCUGUACUGACGCUCAUGCACGAAAGCGUGGGGAGCAAACAGGAUUAGAUACCCGGGUAGUCCCUGUCUCUUAUAC
This 301-nucleotide ribosomal RNA is filed under the name uncultured bacterium. RNAcentral's name for it is "partial 16S ribosomal RNA". It matches the Rfam family "Bacterial small subunit ribosomal RNA", at positions 509 to 807 of the family's 1533-position model. The record is from RNAcentral.